RNAcentral lists this signal recognition particle RNA (300 nucleotides) under Sphenodon punctatus (tuatara). RNAcentral's name for it is "Metazoan signal recognition particle RNA (ENSSPUG00000007852.1)". It matches the Rfam family "Metazoan signal recognition particle RNA". Rfam says of the family: The signal recognition particle (SRP) is a universally conserved ribonucleoprotein. It is involved in the co-translational targeting of proteins to membranes. The record is from Rfam by way of RNAcentral. Lineage: Eukaryota; Metazoa; Chordata; Lepidosauria; Sphenodontia; Sphenodontidae.
GCCGGGCGCGGUGGCUCACGCCUGUAAUCCCAGCUACUGGGGAGGCUGAGGCUGGCGGAUCGCUUGAGUUCAGGAGUUCUGGGCUGCAGGGCGCUAUGCCGAGCGGGGGUCCGCACUAAGUUCGGCAUCAAUAUGGUGCGCCCUGGGGAGCCGGGGGAUACCAGGUUGGCUAACGAGGGGUGAAUCGGCCCAGGUCGGAAACGGAGCAGGUCAAAACUCCCGCGCUGAUCAGUAGUGGGAUCGCCCCUGUGAAUAGUCCCUGCAGCGCAGCCUGGGCAACACAGCGAGACACCGUCUCUU